RNAcentral lists this long non-coding RNA (238 nucleotides) under Lathyrus oleraceus (garden pea). Its description in RNAcentral is "Pisum sativum (pea) long non-coding RNA (PSAT_LNC000926)". The record is from RNAcentral. Lineage: Eukaryota; Viridiplantae; Streptophyta; Magnoliopsida; Fabales; Fabaceae.
GACAUCUUUGGUUUAAGUAUAAGGUACAUGGUUAAACCUUUUUGCCAUAUCAACAACGUUAGCCACAUCAGCCUUUUUGUAAACUUUAGAGCUUUUAUAUUAUAAACUUUAGAGCUUUAGUUUUAUGUUAAUCUCUUAUUAUUAUAAUAUUUUAUGUCAAUGCUUUGUAAUUUUAUAUUAAUUUUAGUUGAGUUUUGCACCAUUAUUUAUUUAUAUCAGCUUAAUUUUUUUAUUUUUU